AUAUUUUCUUUUACAACAUAGGUUAUUUGCAGCUUGACUAGACGGUUCUCCACAUCAGUGAGGACUAAGGCUACAAAUCGUGUUUAUAACCAACAGAAACAUUUCCAGGCAAAUAAAGACAUACCAGUUCAUCUGCGAGGGGGCAGUAUGGAUGUACUCCUUUAUCGUCUUACAAUGGGUGGCACCGUCUUUGGGGUUGGCUGGACAUUAUAUGCACUAUGGAAAGCCUCAUUCCCACAGACUCCAGCUGAAUAGUUACAACACAGUACUCAAGUGUAGUUUACUGUAUUUGUGUGUUUUACCUUGUAUUAAAUCCAAUGUAUUUAUCUGAUUAUACAAUAAUGGUUUCUUGGGUGUGUGUGAUACUUACAUUCUAACUAGGUACAUUACCAUUGUAUAAUGCUUUGCAUUCUGGAAUAAAACUCUAAUUGUUGUUACAUGA
This is a long non-coding RNA of Saccoglossus kowalevskii, 442 nucleotides long. The record is from RefSeq and is a predicted model, not a curated record. NCBI's taxonomy places the organism in Eukaryota, Metazoa, Hemichordata, Enteropneusta, Harrimaniidae.